AAUUUUCAUAACCUUGGAUCAAAGAACACCGCAUAAAAUUGUAUCACUACGACUAUGAUUUCAAUGGAACAUAUUGAACUAAUCAGAUUUUUCAGAUUAUGGAACACUAUUCCAAUUAGAUUGUGUUUCCUUCAACUAAUCAAAAUUGUUUCACUACAACUAUUUGAAGCCAACCAACUAUGAUUCCAAUGGAACAUAUUAAACACUAGUUGAUUCUAAUACGAUUUUUCAGAUUAUA
RNAcentral lists this long non-coding RNA (238 nucleotides) under Hordeum vulgare. RNAcentral describes it as "long non-coding RNA (HVUL_LNC000038)". Lineage: Eukaryota; Viridiplantae; Streptophyta; Magnoliopsida; Poales; Poaceae. The record is from RNAcentral.